GGGGCCGUAGCUCAGUCGGUAGAGCGCCUGCUUUGCAAACAUGAUGCCAACGGUUCGAUUCCGCUCGGCUCCA
This 73-nucleotide transfer RNA is filed under the name Candidatus Liberibacter asiaticus. RNAcentral describes it as "tRNA-Ala". It matches the Rfam family "tRNA". Rfam says of the family: Transfer RNA (tRNA) molecules are approximately 80 nucleotides in length. Their secondary structure includes four short double-helical elements and three loops (D, anti-codon, and T loops). Further hydrogen bonds mediate the characteristic L-shaped molecular structure. tRNAs have two regions of fundamental functional importance: the anti-codon, which is responsible for specific mRNA codon recognition, and the 3' end, to which the tRNAs corresponding amino acid is attached (by aminoacyl-tRNA synthetases). tRNAs cope with the degeneracy of the genetic code in two manners: having more than one tRNA (with a specific anti-codon) for a particular amino acid; and 'wobble' base-pairing, i.e. permitting non-standard base-pairing at the 3rd anti-codon position. The record is from RNAcentral. Lineage: Bacteria; Pseudomonadati; Pseudomonadota; Alphaproteobacteria; Hyphomicrobiales; Rhizobiaceae.